UGAUACGAGGGGCUGCCUGAUCUAGGACCAGC
This 32-nucleotide non-coding RNA is filed under the name Homo sapiens (human). Lineage: Eukaryota; Metazoa; Chordata; Mammalia; Primates; Hominidae. The record is from RNAcentral.